AACAUGAACUGAUGAAGAUCGAAUCAUCUAUAAUAGAAAACUUUAAAAAAGUAAUAGGUAGUUCACUGAACAUCAAACAAAAUACUAAUAACCCAGAAAUUGAAGUCUUUCUUCCAUCAUCAGCAACAUUCAUCACUCAUCAAAACUCAAUAUCUGCAAGAUAAACAAGGUUGCAUCAUAUAUUGGUCUGACUUCGUUCCAUAUAGGAUGCAUAACCAUUUUUGGAGGAGCAGUUAGGACACAAACCUAGGACUAGUUGUCUACGUUCGUAGCAGCUGCAACAUCAUCUCCGUCCUCUUGCACUUGCUGAUUCGUGCCUUUUCCUUCUGUUAUACAAAGGUACAAACGUAGAAGUAUUGUCAACGGAGAUUAAGAGUUUUAAAAGUUUCAUAUUUAGAUAAGAGAUUCAUAGACAGAUAGUACAAAACUAGAGAUUUAUGUAAUCUGAAGCUACUUCUGAAAUCACUAGUCAGUCAACAGGAUUCGAUCAACAUUACAGAAGACAAGCUGAUUUCAGAAGUAGCUACAGAGUUUAAAUGCAUUUAACAACCUAACAUCAUGCAUAUAACAACCUAACAUCAUGCAUCUAAAAAUGUAACAUUAGACAUCCUAAAAAUCACUUCACUGUCUAACUGAACUACUUAACAUUAUACAUAUACAGAAUCAUAAGCAAUCAGACAAUCACAAUUAAUAUGUAUAGAAAUAUACGUUUACUAAUUAAGCUUACCUCAACAGUCAAAUCACCAAAUUCCUGUCAUGCCUCUAGAGCAAUAGC
This 775-nucleotide long non-coding RNA is filed under the name Linum usitatissimum (flax). RNAcentral describes it as "long non-coding RNA (LUSI_LNC006712)". Lineage: Eukaryota; Viridiplantae; Streptophyta; Magnoliopsida; Malpighiales; Linaceae. The record is from RNAcentral.